UGGCGGCGUGCCUAACACAUGCAAGUCUACUUGAACCUACCGCUUGCGGUAUUGGAUGGUGGCGAACGGGUGAGUAACGCGUAGACAACCUACCAUUUAGAGAGGGAUAAUUCNCUGAAAAGAGGACUUAAUACCUCAUGUGCUCUUAAAUUGGCAUCAAUUUGAGAGGAAAGACUACGGUCGUUAAAUGAUGGGUCUGCGUAUCAUUAGUUAGUUGGUAAGGUAACAGCUUACCAAGAUAUCGAUGAUUAGCUGGUCUGAGAGGAUGAUCAGCCACCCUGGGACUGAGAUACGGCCCAGACUCCUACGGGAGGCAGCAGUGAGGAAUAUUGCACAAUGGGGGCAACCCUGAUGCAGCAACGCCGCGUGAGUGAUGAAGGUUUUCGGAUCGUAAAGCUCUGUCAAGAGGGAAGAAACCUCAGAAAGCUAAUACCUUUCUGACUUGACGGUACCUCUAGAGGAAGCACCGGCUAACUCCGUGCCAGCAGCCGCGGUAAUAC
RNAcentral lists this ribosomal RNA (500 nucleotides) under uncultured delta proteobacterium. RNAcentral's name for it is "bacterial SSU rRNA". It matches the Rfam family "Bacterial small subunit ribosomal RNA", at positions 37 to 526 of the family's 1533-position model. Lineage: Bacteria; Deltaproteobacteria. The record is from RNAcentral.